Molecule: ribosomal RNA, 480 nt
Filed under: Streptomyces sp.
Lineage: Bacteria; Bacillati; Actinomycetota; Actinomycetes; Kitasatosporales; Streptomycetaceae
Description: bacterial SSU rRNA
Rfam family: Bacterial small subunit ribosomal RNA
Source: RNAcentral
GGUGGGGAUUAGUGGCGAACGGGUGAGUAACACGUGGGCAAUCUGCCCUGCACUCUGGGACAAGCCCUGGAAACGGGGUCUAAUACCGGAUACUGAUCCGCCUGGGCAUCCAGGCGGUUCGAAAGCUCCGGCGGUGCAGGAUGAGCCCGCGGCCUAUCAGCUUGUUGGUGAGGUAGUGGCUCACCAAGGCGACGACGGGUAGCCGGCCUGAGAGGGCGACCGGCCACACUGGGACUGAGACACGGCCCAGACUCCUACGGGAGGCAGCAGUGGGGAAUAUUGCACAAUGGGCGAAAGCCUGAUGCAGCGACGCCGCGUGAGGGAUGACGGCCUUCGGGUUGUAAACCUCUUUCAGCAGGGAAGAAGCGAAAGUGACGGUACCUGCAGAAGAAGCGCCGGCUAACUACGUGCCAGCAGCCGCGGUAAUACGUAGGGCGCAAGCGUUGUCCGGAAUUAUUGGGCGUAAAGAGCUCGUAGGCG